UACAGAGGUCCCGAGCGUUGUUCGGAUUCACUGGGCGUAAAGGGUGCGCGGGUGGGUUGGCAAGUUUGAUGUGAAAGCCCCGGGCUUAACCCGGGAAUGGCAUUGGAUACUGCUGAUCUGGAGGAUCGGAGGGGGGACUGGAAUUCUUGGUGCAGCAGUGAAAUGCGUAGAUAUCAAGAGGAACACCAGUGGCGAAGGCGAGUCCCUGGACGAUACCUGACACUGAGGCACGAAAGCCGGGGGAGCAAACAGG
Molecule: ribosomal RNA, 253 nt
Filed under: uncultured bacterium
Lineage: Bacteria
Description: partial 16S ribosomal RNA
Rfam family: Bacterial small subunit ribosomal RNA
Source: RNAcentral